GAAUUGUUCACAAUGGGCGCAAGCCUGAUGACGCAACGCCGCGUGGGGGAUGAAGGUCUUCGGAUCGUAAACCCCUGUCGAACGGGACGAAAGACCCGGGAGCUAAUCAUCCUGGGAGUGACGGUACCGGUAAAGGAAGCCACGGCUAACUCUGUGCCAGCAGCCGCGGUAAUACAGAGGUGGCAAGCGUUGUUCGGAAUUACUGGGCGUAAAGGGCGCGUAGGCGGCCAUCUAAGUCAGACGUGAAAUCCCCCGGCUUAACCUGGGAACUGCGUCUGAUACUGGACGGCUUGAGUAUGGGAGAGGGAUGUAGAAUUCCAGGUGUAGCGGUGAAAUGCGUAGAUAUCUGGAGGAAUACCGGUGGCGAAGGCGGCAUCCUGGACCAUUACUGACGCUGAGGCGCGAAAGCUAGGGGAGCAAACGGG
RNAcentral lists this ribosomal RNA (425 nucleotides) under uncultured bacterium. RNAcentral describes it as "bacterial SSU rRNA". It matches the Rfam family "Bacterial small subunit ribosomal RNA", at positions 359 to 776 of the family's 1533-position model. The record is from RNAcentral.